RNAcentral lists this ribosomal RNA (253 nucleotides) under uncultured bacterium. Its description in RNAcentral is "partial 16S ribosomal RNA". It matches the Rfam family "Bacterial small subunit ribosomal RNA", at positions 524 to 776 of the family's 1533-position model. The record is from RNAcentral.
UACGGAGGGUGCGAGCGUUGUCCGGAAUCACUGGGCGUAAAGGGCGCGUAGGUGGCGCUGCAAGUCAACGGUGAAAGCUCGACGCUUAACGUCGAGUCGGCCGCGAAACUGCAGCGCUCGAGCACUGUAGAGGCUCAUGGAAUUCCGGGGUGUAGCGGUGGAAUGCGUAGAGAUGUGGAGGAACACCAGUGGCGAAGGCGGCUUUCUGGACGAUAACUGACGUGAGACGCCGAAAGCGUGGGGAGCAAACAGG